AAGACUAUAUUUUCAGGGAUCAUUUCUAUAGUUCGUUACUAGAGAAGUUUCUCUGAUCGUGUAGAGCACCCAAGAUCAGGAGGAAGAAUCAGAACAUCUUCUUCUGAGCAUCAAGCCAGUUCUAGGUAUUGCUUUUGUAAUUGCCUUUUAACAUGAAUACUUGGUCUUCUCUUCCCUUGGAAGAGUGAGAGAGAGGACAUAGUCCGAGUAGU
Small nucleolar RNA from Sorex fumeus (smoky shrew), 212 nucleotides. RefSeq annotates it as small nucleolar RNA U3. Lineage: Eukaryota; Metazoa; Chordata; Mammalia; Eulipotyphla; Soricidae. The record is from RefSeq and is a predicted model, not a curated record. The transcript has a single exon.